CGCGUUCGCGAUAUACGCAAGUCAUAACGACUCUCGGCAACGGAUAUCUCGGCUCUCGCAUCGAUGAAGAACGUAGCGAAAUGCGAUACUUGGUGUGAAUUGCAGAAUCCCGUGAACCAUCGAGUCUUUGAACGCAAGUUGCGCCCGAAGCCAUCUGGCCGA
This 162-nucleotide ribosomal RNA is filed under the name Cecropia ficifolia. RNAcentral's name for it is "5.8S ribosomal RNA". The stretch from base 29 to 162 matches the Rfam family "5.8S ribosomal RNA", at positions 1 to 132 of the family's 154-position model. From Rfam's summary of the family: 5.8S ribosomal RNA (5.8S rRNA) is a component of the large subunit of the eukaryotic ribosome. It is transcribed by RNA polymerase I as part of the 45S precursor that also contains 18S and 28S rRNA. Lineage: Eukaryota; Viridiplantae; Streptophyta; Magnoliopsida; Rosales; Urticaceae. The record is from RNAcentral.